RNAcentral lists this ribosomal RNA (467 nucleotides) under uncultured bacterium. RNAcentral describes it as "partial 16S ribosomal RNA". It matches the Rfam family "Bacterial small subunit ribosomal RNA", at positions 28 to 507 of the family's 1533-position model. The record is from RNAcentral.
GACGAACGCUGACGGCGUGCUUAACACAUGCAAGUCGAACGGAAAGGCCUCUUUCGGGGGGUACUCGAGUGGCGAACGGGUGAGUAACACGUGAGUAACCUGCCCUUUACUUUGGGAUAACUUCAGGAAACUGGGGCUAAUACCGGAUAGGAGCUCCUGCUGCAUGGUGGGGGUUGGAAAGUUUCGGCGGUUGGGGAUGGACUCGCGGCUUAUCAGCUUGUUGGUGGGGUAGUGGCUUACCAAGGCUUUGACGGGUAGCCGGCCUGGGAGGGUGACCGGCCACAUUGGGACUGAGAUACGGCCCAGGCUCCGACGGGAGGCAGCAGUGGGGAAGAUUGAACAAUGGGUGGAAGCCGGAUGCAGCAACGCCGUGGGCGGGAGGACGGCCUUGGGGUUGUAAACCGCUUUCGCUCAUGACGAAGCUUUGUGUGACGGUAGUGGGUAAAGAAGCACCGGCUAACUACGUG